Molecule: ribosomal RNA, 215 nt
Filed under: Ligilactobacillus saerimneri
Lineage: Bacteria; Bacillati; Bacillota; Bacilli; Lactobacillales; Lactobacillaceae
Description: partial 16S ribosomal RNA
Rfam family: Bacterial small subunit ribosomal RNA
Source: RNAcentral
GGGAUAACACCUGGAAACAGAUGCUAAUACCGCAUAGGUCAUUUGACCGCAUGGUCAAAUGAUUAAAGAUGGCUUUGCUAUCACUUCUGGAUGGACCUGCGGCGUAUUAGCUAGUUGGUAAGGCAACGGCUUACCAAGGCGAUGAUACGUAGCCGAGUUGAGAGACUGAUCGGCCACAUUGGGACUGAGACACGGCCCAGACUCCUACGGGAGGC